UCGUCACACUAUCAUUAACUGAAUCCAUAGGUUAAUGAGGCGAACCGGGGGAACUGAAACAUCUAAGUACCCCGAGGAAAAGAAAUCAACCGAGAUUCCCCCAGUAGCGGCGAGCGAACGGGGAGGAGCCCAGAGCCUGAAUCAGCAUGUGUGUUAGUGGAAGCGUCUGGAAAGGCGCGCGAUACAGGGUGACAGCCCCGUACACAAAAGCGCAUGUGCUGUGAGCUCGAUGAGUAGGGCGGGACACGUGGUAUCCUGUCUGAAUAUGGGGGGACCAUCCUCCAAGGCUAAAUACUCCUGACUGACCGAUAGUGAACCAGUACCGUGAGGGAAAGGCGAAAAGAACCCCGGCGAGGGGAGUGAAAAAGAACCUGAAACCGUGUACGUACAAGCAGUGGGAGCACAGGUUUACCUGUGUGACUGCGUACCUUUUGUAUAAUGGGUCAGCGACUUAUA
This 456-nucleotide ribosomal RNA is filed under the name Salmonella enterica subsp. enterica serovar Albany. Its description in RNAcentral is "bacterial LSU rRNA". It matches the Rfam family "Bacterial large subunit ribosomal RNA", at positions 140 to 632 of the family's 2925-position model. The record is from RNAcentral. Lineage: Bacteria; Pseudomonadati; Pseudomonadota; Gammaproteobacteria; Enterobacterales; Enterobacteriaceae.